This 70-nucleotide transfer RNA is filed under the name Dipodomys ordii (Ord's kangaroo rat). It matches the Rfam family "tRNA". Rfam says of the family: Transfer RNA (tRNA) molecules are approximately 80 nucleotides in length. Their secondary structure includes four short double-helical elements and three loops (D, anti-codon, and T loops). The record is from Rfam by way of RNAcentral. Lineage: Eukaryota; Metazoa; Chordata; Mammalia; Rodentia; Heteromyidae.
GGGAAGUUGGCUCAGUGGUAGAGUGCUUGCCUCGCAUGCAUGAGGUCCUGGGUUCGAUUCCUCAGUACCA